AACAGCACAGCCUUCUUCCCAUUCCUGGCUCUCUGUCAAUUCCAGUACUAGAUUCUGUGCUAUUUCCUGUGCUGUGAGUUUGAAUUUCUAAGCAGCAAAGAUGAACAAGGAUGGAUUUGACAAUGCCUUUGAUUGACCUCGCAGCUGCUCAACACGCAAAGAUAUUUUGCUGCUAAAAAUAGUUGGAGUCGGGAGGAGGAGGACUGGGGCAUAACCGUCAGCAGCUGCAGCUCGGAGAAGCUAGUUCUCUCGUCUUCAAGAAGGCCGAUCUCUUCCCUAGCCUGCUGAACCUUCUGUGUUUUGGGGAAGGUUUGUAUUCUUUCUUCCUCAGGAUUAUGGUCCUGAGAAAGUGUCUUCUAGUUCUCAUCAGGACUAGGAUUGAGGACCAGCCCUGGGUCAAAAACAUAGGAUAUGGGUGAGCACACAGUGGAGCACUGAGCAGUCAGGACUGAGUCACCAGACAGUCCCUGAGCCAUAGAAGGCUGCUGCUGGGGAGGAAGCAGACGGAGGUGCAAUGAAGGUGAGUGUGCCACGCUAGAGUCAAGCGCCUUCGUCAAGAUUUAAGGAGAGGGGGAGUGAAGGACUGGAGUAGAAACCAUAGGUACAGACAUGAAGAAGGUAAGGCCAUUACAGUCUAAGGAGAACAGCGGAGGUUUAAAACCCCUCGCAGGUCUCAGUGGAACUCCUUCCCCAACUCACAGAUUAGCUUCUUUUUACCAACUCAGCUUCCUUUCCUGAUAAGCCCAGUCACCAUGUAGACUCUGUCAGAAUUUAAUGCACUCUUUAAACCAGUGGGUCUCAGUCUCAUUAGAAUCAUGUGGGAAGCUUUGUUAAAAAGAAAAAAAAAGAUGCCUGGGUUCUACUCACCUAGGUCAACAGAAUCAGAAUCUCUAGGGAGGCGGAGGUGGCAUAGGGUUGGUGGAGUUGGGCCCAGGCAUAUGUGAUUUCUUUAGAAGUUCACCGUGUGAUUCUGAUGCCCAGUGAGGGUCAAGAACCAUUGCCUUCAGCACUCUUACUUUGAGUAAACAGGAUCAUUCCCCGCUUUUGAGAUUUAAAAUUUUAGAAUGCUGUAGCUAGAUGAUAGUUUGUGGCAGUGUUUCUCAAAUUUUCUUGUGCAUGUGAAUCACCUGGGGAUCCUGUUAAAAAGCAGAUUCUGGUUUAGGUGGCUGGAAGUGGGGCCUAAGCUGUGGCAUUUCUCACUCAUGUCCAUGUGACAUGGGAGCUGCUGGAGUGAGGACCACCUUGAUUGCAGUGGAGCUUUAGAUCGAAUACAGAUGGAAUGCUGCCUCUGUGCCAGACCCUGUGCUUAGUGCUGUACAUUCAUUGCAUUCUCACAAGCCUCUGAAAGAGGUACUGUUUAUAAUUCCAUUUUACAGGUGAGUAAACUAAGGCCUAGAUAAGUUAAGCAUCUUGCUCAGGAUCAUAAUGCUGGUAAGUAAUAGAGGCAGAAUCUGGAUCUAGAUGGUCUGAUUCCAGAAACUGUGAGCUGAACCACAAUGUAAUACCACUUCAAAGGCAGGAUGGGGCUCAGGGGAGUACCUGCAGUUGAAGCUGU
Macaca mulatta (Rhesus monkey) is the source of this 1555-nucleotide non-coding RNA. NCBI's taxonomy places the organism in Eukaryota, Metazoa, Chordata, Mammalia, Primates, Cercopithecidae. The record is from RefSeq and is a predicted model, not a curated record.